UGCACACAGCAGGGGGGUUGAAACUAGAUGAUCAUUUUCAAACCAGGCCAUUCAAUGAUUCUAUGAUGGUUGGUGUUGUCAAUAUAUAGUUUCCUUUGUUACCUGCUGGAGCUCAGUACAUGUCAAGACCCAUUAUCAAAAUACUGCCAUAAGAACUUAGAGUGAAAAUACAAAAUCAAAAUUUUCAAGUUUUAUUUAUUUUGGUUAUCUAUCAUAAUACUGUAAUUUUCAUCCACACUUCCAAUCACAAUAUAAACAGAAAAUCUACUUUUAGCUCAUCUGUAUAGAAGAUUCCACCUGCUUUUGUAAUGCAAUGUAAAAGUUCCUGAAGAUGGAAAAAUAUGCUUAUCUUGUCAAGUACUCAAGAAGUUUCUUUCACAACACCACACAAGUUGCACUGCUUAAGCUGCUUUAAAUAGAAGUAAUUUAAUUCUGAUAAACAGAACUAGAAAGUUUGAGAGAAUUAACAGUAACUCUUAAAUUUCUGACCAGUAACUCUAACAAUAAAACUGUUUCUACAUUUACCGUGCAGAAUUAAAUAAUCACACGGAAAGAAAGCUAAUAUUAUAAAUAGCCUGUACUUGCAUUAGAUAAGUAAAAGGGAUAAAGGUUUAUUUAUCAAAUCUUCUACAUGUUGCUCAUGUUUGUGCUGGUGGUCUUAUAUACGUCACACAGUUUUGAAUGUUAAGUUGUUAGAUCAACACAAGUAUUGCCUGAGAUCCAGAAGAGCUGCUGUGCUAAUUCGGAAUAUAACCAGCACUUGAAGAAUGGUAUCACACACCAAUGCAGGAGAAGAUUUUCAAAUCACAACCUAGCUCCAUUUCAAUAAAUCUCUCUGUUUACGGAUAUACAAAAAAGUAAAAUCUGACUAAACACAAUACCUCAAAUUCCCUGAGCAAAGCAGCUCAAAUCUGUCUAAUCUCUUUUACACAAGGUCUGAAAAACCUAUCUUGUGCACCAACAACUACACAGUCAAUCUGAACUUCCACAUACCUAUUUAAGCACUCUGUAGAAAAGAUAAGCACAAAUGAUUGCAUUAAUUUAAUGCAAGACCAUCUUUAAUUGGUAAAAAACCACUUAGGAGAAGCCGCUCCUGAUCAUAGGGAAAAAUAGCUGUUAAUGUUAAGACAAAUGAGACCCAUCUGUCAUUAUUCAUAUUUUCUAAAAAAGCUUUCAAGUGGCUACACCUCUCUUCUACAAGCCACCAAAACAAGCUUUAAGGGGACAAGCUCCUCCUAAGUAGACAAGAUUUGGGAUUUCUGAUCUCACCCCAUUGUGACAGGUUACAGUGCUGAACAAGGAAUCUGUAUAUGCUGAAGAACAUGAUGGCAAGGAAAGAAAAUUCCCGAGAAAGUGAGCACUGUUUCACUCUAUUUAGACCACAGUUUCUCUCAGAGAAAGCUCUGCUACCCUCCCUACCACCCCAGCAGAGGGCUGCAUCAAGGAUACCCAAUCAGCAGAUGCACCUAUCUCAGAUAUAAAAGGGGACAAGGUAGGCCUGUUCAGCAAGAACUGAUCUGCUGAAAAGCCAAAGAUUAGGCUUAGGUCUUCAUUUCUUUGAGGCAGUUGAUGGCUGUAAACCAGAACAAAUGAUUUAGUUUGGGUUCAAAAACUGAAGAAUUCAUGAGCAAAAGAAAAAAAAACACAGAAACUGAAGCAAAAAGCAGCACCAAAAAAUAAGCAAGAUUUAUCUUCCAGCUGAACUGUUAAUCACGUUUCUAGCUUAACAGUUUGAUCACUGUUACUGCACACAAAAUUAAUUAAAUUAAAAUUUAAUAAAGGUAUGUAAGUUGCUCCAAAAGUAAUACCUCCUAUUUAUUCCCAUAGAAACCUACAACAGAUAGGAAGAACAAAACACUGCUUGAUAGAGAAAAUUAUCAGCUUCAAAACACUAUAAAACAGAAGGCAUUACUUUUGAAGCAGCCCUCAUAGAAUUAUAUAGUUGCAUAUCAAAGAAGAGAGCCUUCUAUGCAACUGAGCAGUGAUUUUUCCAAACAUUAGCUUUCAUUCUGUACGUACAUAAUAAAUCACAUUAUGAUACAUUUCUAUAUCAUUAAUAAAAGGAGCAGAAUUAGAACAUACAAAGUUUGCACCACCUGAGAACAUUUGUUUUUAUCUAUUACAAAGAGUUUUUUUCUAAUUUUAAAUUAAAGAUAUCAAGUAUCAACAUGCACCUAAGAAUUCCACUAAGGAGCAAGGAAGCAUCACAAGAACAUUACCGUGACAUGACCUAACAAACACUUUGACACAAAAGUAGAUCAACUUUUUAAAUUACUUUCUUUGGAUGGAAAUGAAAUACUCAUUUAUUUCUGUACUUGGUGAGUCACAGCAUGCUGAAGAGCUUUAGUCGAAUUUCAUAGAAUAGUUUCUUUAAAAUUAAGAAUUUACAUUUGAUGUACCUAAUGAAAGUACUCUUUCACAGUUUGUCCUUCCAAACUCUUUAACCUUCCCUGUCGUUAGGGUUGACUGAUAAGCCACCAGCUGUUUUCUUCCUACUGCUACAAUGCAUUCUCUUCCUUUUUAAGGCUAGUAUACCCAAGCAGGAAACAGGACUUUAGCCAGCUGCUAGAAUGUCACAAUCCUAUAUAUUUAGCUCUCAUCUCAUUUACUGCCAUCCCUCAGUGUCAGCCACUUAAUGUCCCUUUCACUCCAGUCCACUGACAUUCCUCAUCGAGCUGACAACAACGCCGGCUGGAUCAGCAGCUAUGAGUACAAGAACACACAACAACAAAGCACAGACCUUAUCAGUUAUCAGAGACAAAAGCCAUGACACGUCAAACACAGUCAAGGAGCUUUUAAAAGGAAGGAGAUAAACAGACAUUACAUUCUGUUUGUCGAAGGAGACCAACGCAGCUCAUUUUCAUUGCAACAGAAGAGGAACUACUCCCCACUUCCAGCAGGAAAAAAGUUGAUUAAAAAGUUACCAAAAAGCUUUACAAGGUGCUUCAGGUCCAUACACUAAUUAGUCCAUUAGCAGUAGCUCGCAUCUCCAGCCCUAUAGAUGCUACAAAGCCAGAUUUCCAGGUUUCUCUCCUGUUCAAUUUGUGCAUCCACUAUUACCUUGCAAAAAAAGGAAAUCCUUUGGAAAGGCUGACAAGCCUUCCAGGUCUCAAGAACAACAAUUUGCACUUGUGGAAGGGAGGAAAAAAAA
Non-coding RNA from Phasianus colchicus (ring-necked pheasant), 3151 nucleotides. NCBI's taxonomy places the organism in Eukaryota, Metazoa, Chordata, Aves, Galliformes, Phasianidae. The record is from RefSeq and is a predicted model, not a curated record.